CCUACGGGAGGCAGCAGUGGGGAAUAUUGGACAAUGGGCGAAAGCCUGAUCCAGCAAUUCCGCGUGUGUGAAGAAGGCCUUCGGGUUGUAAAGCACUUUAGUGGGGGAAGAAACAGCUUGGCCACACCAAGCCUUGACGGUACCCCAAGAAUAAGCACCGGCUAACUCUGUGCCAGCAGCCGCGGUAAUACAGAGGGUGCAAGCGUUAAUCGGAUUUACUGGGCGUAAAGGGUGCGUAGGUGGCUAUUUAAGUCGGAUGUGAAAGCCCGGGGCUCAACCUCGGAAUUGCAUUCGAUACUGAGUGGCUAGAGUUCGGUAGAGGGCGGCGGAAUUUCCGGUGUAGCGGUGAAAUGCGUAGAUAUCGGAAGGAACAUCAAUGGCGAAGGCAGCCGCCUGGGCCUGGACUGACACUGAGGCACGAAAGCGUGGGUAGCAAACAGGAUUAGAUACCCUGGUAGUCCACGCCGUAAACGAUGAGAACUUGACGUUGGUUCGUUUUACGAAUCGGUGUCGCAGCUAACGCGAUAAGUUCUCCGCCUGGGGAGUACGGCCGCAAGGUUGAAACUCAAAUGAAUUGACGGNNGAGAGNGCGAGACGACGACGAGGAGAG
Molecule: ribosomal RNA, 610 nt
Filed under: uncultured bacterium
Lineage: Bacteria
Description: bacterial SSU rRNA
Rfam family: Bacterial small subunit ribosomal RNA
Source: RNAcentral